CAACCUAAAUAAGAAUUCAAAAAUAAUAAAAUGGAGUCAGAUUGAGUUAAACCUAAAUUGAAUAACCCUGCACGCUGAAAAGACCGAACACUCAAGAGACCUUCAUCCGCCACUGGAUACCUU
Molecule: long non-coding RNA, 123 nt
Organism: Sinocyclocheilus anshuiensis
Lineage: Eukaryota; Metazoa; Chordata; Actinopteri; Cypriniformes; Cyprinidae
Exons: 3
Source: RefSeq, a predicted model, not a curated record